GAUGAACGCUAGCGGGAUGCCUAACACAUGCAAGCCGAGCGGUAUGGAUAGCUUGCUAUCCAGAGAGCGGCGUACGGGUGCGUAACACGUGUGCAACCUACCUUUAUCUGGGGUAUAGCCUUUCGAAAGGAAGAUUAAUACCCCAUAAUAUAAUGAUUGUCAUCAAUGAUGAUGGAAAACUCCGGUGGAUGGAGAUGGGCACGCGCGAGAUUAGAUAGUUGGUGAGGUAACGGCUCACCAAGUCAAUGAUCUUUAGGGGUCCUGAGAGGGAGAUCCCCCACACUGGUACUGAGAAACGGACCAGACUGCUACGGGCGGCAGCAGUGAGGAAUAUUGGACAAUGGGUGAGAGCCUGAUCCAGCCAUCCCGCGUGAAGGAUGACGGUCCUAUGGAUUGUAACCUUCUUUUGUACAGGGAUAAACCUACUCUCGGGAGGGUAGCUGAAGGUACUGUACGAAUAAGCACCGGCUAACUCCGUG
RNAcentral lists this ribosomal RNA (479 nucleotides) under uncultured bacterium. RNAcentral's name for it is "partial 16S ribosomal RNA". It matches the Rfam family "Bacterial small subunit ribosomal RNA", at positions 28 to 507 of the family's 1533-position model. The record is from RNAcentral.